Molecule: non-coding RNA, 3677 nt
Organism: Taeniopygia guttata (zebra finch)
Lineage: Eukaryota; Metazoa; Chordata; Aves; Passeriformes; Estrildidae
Source: RefSeq, a predicted model, not a curated record
UUUGGUGGACAGGGGUCCCUGCCAAUGGCAGAGGGGUUGGAACUGGAUAAUCUUUAAGGUCUUCCAAUCCAAACCAUUCUAUAAUUCUAUGAUUCUGAUUCUUUACAUCUCCUGCAGCAACUUGAGGCCAUUUUCCUCUUGUCCUCUUGCUUGUUACCUGGCAGGAAAGGCUGAUUCCUACCUCACUAAAAAUCAUUUCAGGACUUUCCUCUGAAACAGGUUUCCAGGCUCCUGCUUCUCUUCCUGGCUGAGAGGGAAGGAAUGAAAAUCAGAGCAAGAAAUUGCAGGGCAUGGUCAGCUGCGCUGUCACAUUUUCACCCAUUCUUGUUACUGAGAGUUUCCAUGUGGUGUUUUUUCAUCUUAAGCCCACAGACAACUGCAAGGCAUCUUCUUUUGAAUCAUUGCUGUUACAGCAAUAAUUUGCGCAAUGGCUAAAAGCAGAGUAAUCAGCUGGUAGCCACAGAUCAAGAACAAAACAUCCCAGUCUCAGGAAUAGCUACAUUUUGGUCAAUUAGUGCCAAUCUGGAACCUGUAGCCUGGAAAUGAAUGAAACCAUUGUAAGUUACUUUGGUUUAUUUGAAAACUAAACAGGAAAUAUUUCUUACUUAGACAAUUGACAUUUAUUCACCAGAGGCCAUCUGAAAGUGCUUAAUUUGGUCUGAAUAUUCUGUGGAAUUGGAUGCUUUGUCUUUCAUAAUUUGUACAGAUGUUUCCCUCAAGCCUUCUGAAUCUUUUCUAGUAUUCCUCCUCUGCUUCCAUAUAUUCACUCAGACAUACAGUCCAUGUUCUUAGGUUAUACCAAGAAAACACAAUGGCAUAUCAAAAAUCUCAUAUUUUUUAUAUGUAGAACCAUGACUUUAAACUUGCUAGAUCCCCAAAACAUGACAUUUCCUUACUUGGAGUCUGAGAUGACUACUUUUUUUUUCUGUGACCACUUUAAAUGGGAGAACAGUGCUACAAAGAGAACAGUCCCCAUUUUGAGUCAUAAAUUAAGCACUUUGUUAAUGUUUUUAAUAUUAUCAAUUUUUAGCAUGAGAUCACAAUGCUGUCUACACAUAUAAGCACAUUGGAUAAAUAACUUAAGGUCAACAGCCUCCUUGGAUGACUCAUUCAUUCUACGGAUAACUGGAUUGAAAUUAAUAUGAACUAGAAUGAAAUUAUAUAUAAAAUAUAUUUUUGUGACACAGAAAUAAAUAUUACUUUAAAAAUUAAUAAAGAAUUAAUUAGUAAAAAAACUUGAGUCUGCACAUCCCCUAAUUAGAUUACAUAAGAGAACUUAAUCACUUCAGGUUACAGCAGGAUGACACAUAUUAUGCUUUUCAUUGCAUGUAAUAAUAAAUGCAACAACUCUAAAAGUUUAAUAGAGAUACAGGAACACAAGUUCCUUUUUGCAGCAGCACAAACACCACAUUAGUUCAUAUUAAAUGUAGCUUUACAAGGAUUUUUUUUCUUGUGAAUUUAACAUGUUUUUGACAACCUGGUGCUCAGUAAAUAGUGCCAUGGAAGCUGCCAAUCACGGACAAUUACUUGGAUGUAUAAUGUGCAUCUGCAAAGAUUACUAAACAAGAUACUUUCUCCUGCUAUUAAAUUAGAAAUAAAGCUUCAUUCUCUGUGAGUUACAAGUACUGUGGUAGCUGUGAAGUGUUUCUGAGGUUUGCUGCAAAAUCUGUGUGGCAUCUGAGAACACACAUGUGAAAUACAGUGCAGUGCUGAGAGAUUUCUCAAUACCAUCUCUUCCUUAUCUGGAAGAUACUGUUUUUAGGGGGAAAAUAUCUUGUCAAUUAUAUACUUUUCUAUCUCAUUAACAGUUCAAAUUAAUUGGUCAGAGGGACCAAUGACUUUAAAACACAUCUUUGAAAACUGGAAUGUCUGAAAUAAAUGUAAGACAUUAUUUAAAUUCAGGAAGCAAAAAUAUAAUACUAAUUUUAUCUUUCCUCCAGAUUUACCAACUAUCAAAACUAAAAUGUCACUCCCAUGAAAUAAUCGUAAGUUUUUGUUGAGAUUCAGCAUGGUCUGAGAGACCUCACUUUGUUUCUGGGCUGGUCAAAGAAGUCUCAUGGGACUCAGUUUCCAAGGAGGUGACCUAUAAUCCCUUCCCAUAUAAACUAGAAAGAAGGGCCAUCUGGGUCGCUAGGGAGAAGGGUUAACAAGUGAAGCUGAUGUGACUCAGCUUGGCUCUGGGAGCUUCUCAGGGAGAACAUGACCCUCUCUGGAGGCCAGGAAAGCUUCACUCAGCUGCAGGGACUCAGUAAGUGGUGUGGUUGUGGAUGUAUGAGACUGGCCUGGCUGGGAUGAAGCACUGUCUGUAAUGAGAAUGACAAGGGAGGGAGGUGACCGGGCUAGUAUCACAUUGCUCUGCUUUCUACUCCUUCAGGGAUUACAAACAUGCCUAUAAAUGGGUAAGGUGAAAGUAAAGUUUAGUAGAAAUUCAGAGAUGGAUUGAAGUUAUGCUGUGGCUUGAUACUAGGAUGCUGAAUACUAACAUUUCCCUAAAAUAUGCAAUGAAUUAAAAAGAAUGCUUGUUAGACUGUCAACUGGUAAUGAUAGGAAUGGCAAUAGAAUUUAAAAUAUUUGAAUUAGUUCUAGUUGUGCUAAAAUAUAAACUGGAAGCACUGUCCAGGCCUCAGGGCAGGUACCAGUGCAGGCUGUGCCUCCCAGGUGGGGUUUAUCAGUUUCCACUGGGAUCUUUCAGCAGUGGAGGGGUUUGGAGCAGCUGAUGCAGCUCCAGAACGCAGCUGAUGCCAGGCUCCAGCGGUGCUGCCAGGGCUGGUUACACACUCUCCUGGCAGCCUCGCUGCCCUGCUCACUGUGUAGCAGCUGGAAACAGCCCUGCUUGCACUUCAGGCUGAGGGUUUCCAGAUUUACUCUGUUGCUGACUGUGCUGCAGACAGCAGAGCCCUGCUCCUAGACCCAAUCCCUGCUUGUGACCAUUUUCGGCUCUGUGCCUGCUGCAGAGGAGCAGCCACCAGCUCAGUGAGUGCAGUUAGUCACAUACCCAGGUCCUGUACUCUUCACUAGGAAGUUUUUGGGAUCAUAGUCAAUACAUGGAGUUAGCUGUCCUUUGAAGGCUGAUCUGAAUUUCAGAUUCAGUCUUUUAGAGUACAGUCUACUUUCUCUGGUCCUCUGUCCAAAGGUGUUUUGAUUUUAUUAAAACAGCUAACUAAACACCACAAUCACCUUUGAGCUUUUCUACACUUGACUUACAGUUACAUUUUAAAGCCAUUCAAAAUAUCUACCUGGACCUGUUCUGAAGAUUGAGCACAGCUGGUUUCUAAACUGAGCUAAAGGAGUCAGUGUGGUAUCUUUAUGGUUAGGAUCACAGCAUUAAUUAAACACAAGGACAAUUUAUGUCACGUAAACAAACAAGCAUUUCUAAAGCUCCAGAAAACUAAAUAUGUAAUGCUUUUAUCUGACUCAGAAGUGCUUUAAAUACUAUGGAUCAAAGCCUCAUUGUAAGGAUUUCUCCAGUUUUUGCCUAAUGUGAAAUCCUGUUUGAGGGAAAAAAAAAAAGGCUUUUUUAUUACCUUAUAAUAUUUUUUGUCUUUUUCAGAUAAAUAAAGUAACUGUGUCCAUACAAUUAAAAAAUAAUAUUACCAUGUAAAAAAAUGCAAGCUGUAACUGUGGUAAUCUAAAUUUUAGAACCUAAAUUUAGCACCUAUAAGGUAGAGGAAAAAUGA